GGUUCUAUGGUGUAAUGGUUAGUACUCAGGACUCUGAAUCCUGUGAUACGAGUUCAAAUCUCAGUAGCACCU
RNAcentral lists this transfer RNA (72 nucleotides) under Salmo salar (Atlantic salmon). It matches the Rfam family "tRNA". Rfam says of the family: Transfer RNA (tRNA) molecules are approximately 80 nucleotides in length. Their secondary structure includes four short double-helical elements and three loops (D, anti-codon, and T loops). Lineage: Eukaryota; Metazoa; Chordata; Actinopteri; Salmoniformes; Salmonidae. The record is from Rfam by way of RNAcentral.